Malaya genurostris is the source of this 801-nucleotide long non-coding RNA. RefSeq lists it as uncharacterized. The transcript has 2 exons. Lineage: Eukaryota; Metazoa; Arthropoda; Insecta; Diptera; Culicidae. The record is from RefSeq and is a predicted model, not a curated record.
AUUCAACGAAAGACUCCGUCAGUUGAAUACUUGUUGGAGCAGAUUGUUACCAAAUAGAGAUACAGAAUAGCGGGCGUUUGUAGACGUGAAUUAGGCGAGAAAGAGAUAAGCGAUGAUAACAACUUUGUGUGCGCGUUUAAUUUGAUGGUUUCAAUCAUACCAAAUUGAUAACUGAUAACGUUUUCAAUAGCUAUAGUGAUACUAAUUUCUAAUAAUGAUCUACAUCUCAUCUCAACCAACUAACAUGUGAAGAGAUAUCUAUUCAAUUUCAUCAAAAAGGACUUCACUUCAUUCUACUGAUAUUUGUGUCUAUAAUGGAUAGAUUUUACGUUUGCGUCUGUAUCGAUGUAAUCUUCAGCUAAAUUAACUGUGAAGUUAAUGAUAUGACUUAUCUUUACAUGCUGUGAAUUGUGAAUUUUCUACGUUCCCAGAAUUUUUCCAGAUCAAGGAUCGACUCACUUCGGCAAUACCAGUUCCCAGUGUUCAGGAAGCGAUCAAAACGAAUAUUCAAAGCAAAAUCUUGGUAUUACAUUCCUUUUGCGGAAUUUGACCUUAUGUUUCAACAGACUUCGCAGUUGAUUCAUAGCGUACAGAACCGUUGCAUGGCUGGUUUCACGAUUCUACUGACAUUAAGAAUCUUUCCGGGCUCGAACUAAUUACAACUAACUUGUAACACCAGCGCUCUAUGCAUUGUACCGCCAACGCGAUCUAAAAGUAACUAACUUUGUUUUCUCAGGGCUGGUUACCGUAUACGUGAUAAAGUUUGCACAAUAAAACAACGUAAACAUUUAAAAAAACUAA